This 251-nucleotide unclassified non-coding RNA is filed under the name uncultured Sporormiaceae. RNAcentral describes it as "sequence contains ITS2". Lineage: Eukaryota; Fungi; Ascomycota; Dothideomycetes; Pleosporales; Sporormiaceae. The record is from RNAcentral.
AACGCACAUUGCGCCCUUUGGUAUUCCUUAGGGCAUGCCUGUUCGAGCGUCAUUUAAACCUUCAAGCUCAGCUUGGUGUUGGGUGACUGUCCGCCGCCUCCGGGCGUGUGGACUCGCCUCAAAAUUAUUGGCGGCCGGUACAUUGGCUUCGAGCGCAGCAGAAACGCGAACUCGGGCCCGUCGUAUUGGCUCCCAGAAGCUAUCUUCACAAUUUUGACCUCGGAUCAGGUAGGGAUACCCGCUGAACUUAA